GACAGAGGUCCCGAGCGUUAGGCGGAAUCACUGGGCUUAAAGCGUGUGUAGGCGGAUCCGUAAGUACCUUGUGAAAUCCCACGGCUCACCCGUGGAACUGCUCGGUAUACUGCGGGUCUUGAGCCACCUAGGGGCGAGCGGAACAAACGGUGGAGCGGUGAAAUGCGUAGAUAUCGUUUGGAACGCCAAUGGUGAAAACAGCUCGCUGGGGGUGUGCUGACGCUGAGACACGAAAGCCAGGGGAGCAAACGGG
Molecule: ribosomal RNA, 253 nt
Filed under: uncultured bacterium
Lineage: Bacteria
Description: partial 16S ribosomal RNA
Rfam family: Bacterial small subunit ribosomal RNA
Source: RNAcentral